CCUACGGGGGGCAGCAGUGGGGAAUAUUGGACAAUGGGCGAAAGCCUGAUCCAGCCAUGCCGCGUGUGUGAAGAAGGCCUUCGGGUUGUAAAGCACUUUCAGUGGGGAAGAAAGCCUUGGGGCUAAUACCCUCGAGGAAGGACAUCACCCACAGAAGAAGCACCGGCUAACUCCGUGCCAGCAGCCGCGGUAAACGGAGGGUGCGAGCGUUAAUCGGAAUUACUGGGCGUAAAGCGCGCGUAGGCGGUCUGAUAAGCCGGUUGUGAAAGCCCCGGGCUCAACCUGGGAACGGCAUCCGGAACUGUCAGGCUAGAGUGCAGGAGAGGAAGGUAGAAUUCCCGGUGUAGCGGUGAAAUGCGUAGAGAUCGGGAGGAAUACCAGUGGCGAAGGCGGCCUUCUGGACUGACACUGACGCUGAGGUGCGAAAGCGUGGGUAGCAAACAGGAUUAGAUACCCCAGUAGUC
RNAcentral lists this ribosomal RNA (464 nucleotides) under Vreelandella stevensii. RNAcentral's name for it is "partial 16S ribosomal RNA". It matches the Rfam family "Bacterial small subunit ribosomal RNA", at positions 338 to 795 of the family's 1533-position model. Lineage: Bacteria; Pseudomonadati; Pseudomonadota; Gammaproteobacteria; Oceanospirillales; Halomonadaceae. The record is from RNAcentral.